This 468-nucleotide ribosomal RNA is filed under the name uncultured bacterium. RNAcentral's name for it is "partial 16S ribosomal RNA". It matches the Rfam family "Bacterial small subunit ribosomal RNA", at positions 28 to 507 of the family's 1533-position model. The record is from RNAcentral.
GACGAACGCUGGCGGCGUGCUUAACACAUGCAAGUCGAACGGAAAGGCCCUGCUUUUGUGGGGUGCUCGAGUGGCGAACGGGUGAGUAACACGUGAGUAACCUGCCCUCGACUUUGGGAUAACUUCAGGAAACUGGGGCUAAUACCGGAUAGGAGCUCCUGCUGCAUGGUGGGGGUUGGAAAGUUUCGGCGGUUGGGGAUGGACUCGCGGCUCAUCAGCUUGUUGGUGGGGUAGUGGCUUACCAAGGCUUUGACGGGUAGCCGGCCUGAGAGGGUGACCGGCCACAUUGGGACUGAGAUACGGCCCAGACUCCUACGGGAGGCAGCAGUGGGGAAUAUUGCACAAUGGGCGGAAGCCUGAUGCAGCAACGCCGCGUGCGGGAUGACGGCCUUCGGGUUGUAAACCGCUUUCGCCUGUGACGAAGCGUGAGUGACGGUAAUGGGUAAAGAAGCACCGGCUAACUACGUG